This 630-nucleotide ribosomal RNA is filed under the name Pseudovibrio sp. WH009094c. RNAcentral describes it as "bacterial SSU rRNA". It matches the Rfam family "Bacterial small subunit ribosomal RNA", at positions 188 to 838 of the family's 1533-position model. Lineage: Bacteria; Pseudomonadati; Pseudomonadota; Alphaproteobacteria; Hyphomicrobiales; Stappiaceae. The record is from RNAcentral.
UGAGCCCUAUGGGGGAAAGAUUUAUCGCCAUGAGAUGUGCCCGCGNUUAGAUUAGCUAGUUGGUAAGGUAAUGGCUUACCAAGGCGACGAUCUAUAGCUGGUCUGAGAGGAUGAUCAGCCACACUGGGACUGAGACACGGCCCAGACUCCUACGGGAGGCAGCAGUGGGGAAUAUUGGACAAUGGGGGCAACCCUGAUCCAGCCAUGCCGCGUGUGUGAUGACGGCCUUAGGGUUGUAAAGCACUUUCAGCAGUGAAGAUAAUGACAUUAACUGCAGAAGAAGCCCCGGCUAACUUNNUGCCAGCAGCCGCGGUAAUACGAAGGGGGCUAGCGUUGUUCGGAAUCACUGGGCGUAAAGAGUACGUAGGCGGACUGAUAAGUUAGGGGUGAAAUCCCAAGGCUCAACCUUGGAACUGCCUUUGAUACUGUCAGUCUUGAGAUCGAGAGAGGUGAGUGGAACUCCGAGUGUAGAGGUGAAAUUCGUAGAUAUUCGGAAGAACACCAGUGGCGAAGGCGGCUCACUGGCUCGAUACUGACGCUGAGGUACGAAAGCGUGNGGAGCAAACAGGAUUAGAUACCCUGGUAGUCCACGCCGUANACGAUGAAUGCUAGUUGUCANGUAGCUUGCUA